UGCAGCGACGCCGCGUGAGGGAUGACGGCCUUCGGGUUGUAAACCUCUUUCAGCACAGACGAAGCGCAAGUGACGGUAUGUGCAGAAGAAGGACCGGCCAACUACGUGCCAGCAGCCGCGGUAAUACGUAGGGUCCGAGCGUUGUCCGGAAUUACUGGGCGUAAAGAGCUCGUAGGUGGUUUGUCGCGUUGUUCGUGAAAACUCACAGCUUAACUGUGGGCGUGCGGGCGAUACGGGCAGACUUGAGUACUGCAGGGGAGACUGGAAUUCCUGGUGUAGCGGUGGAAUGCGCAGAUAUCAGGAGGAACACCGGUGGCGAAGGCGGGUCUCUGGGCAGUAACUGACGCUGAGGAGCGAAAGCGUGGGGAGCGAACAGGAUUAGAUACCCUGGUAGUCCACGCCGUAAACGGUGGGUACUAGGUGUGGGUUUCCUUCCUUGGGAUCCGUGCCGUAGCUAACGCAUUAAGUACCCCGCCUGGGGAGUACGGCCGCAAGGCUAAAACUCAAAGAAAUUGACGGGGGCCCGCACAAGCGGCGGAGCAUGUGGAUUAAUUCGAUGCAACGCGAAGAACCUUACCUGGGUUUGACAUGCACAGGACGCUGGUAGAGAUAUCAGUUCCCUUGUG
RNAcentral lists this ribosomal RNA (626 nucleotides) under Mycobacterium sp. Ri3Pw_6354. RNAcentral describes it as "bacterial SSU rRNA". It matches the Rfam family "Bacterial small subunit ribosomal RNA", at positions 387 to 1022 of the family's 1533-position model. The record is from RNAcentral. Lineage: Bacteria; Bacillati; Actinomycetota; Actinomycetes; Mycobacteriales; Mycobacteriaceae.